UUGGGCGAAGCAAGCAGCGAGGCGAAUAUCUUGGUGCGAGUCCUGGACGAGAAUGACCACGCCCCUGCCUUCCCGAGGGCGCUGCACGAGACACAGAUCACGGAGGAGGAUGACCGCCACUUGCCCAAGACGAUCCUAACGGUGAAAGCCGUAGACGGCGACGCGGGCGAGUUCGGCAGCCUGCGCUACUCCCUGAGCGGCGACGGCGUCUACCACAACGGGACGCGGUCCUGCUUCGCCGUCGACGAGACCUCCGGCGCCAUCCACCUCCUGCGGCCGUUGGACCGCGACCCCCCUCAUGGCAAAUCCCAGUGGCGUCUACGUGUUGCUGCCUCGGACGGAGAACUCAAAGCCUACACAGCCGUCCACGUUAAUCUCAAAGACAUCAACGACAACGCAC
Penaeus chinensis is the source of this 400-nucleotide long non-coding RNA. RefSeq lists it as uncharacterized. Lineage: Eukaryota; Metazoa; Arthropoda; Malacostraca; Decapoda; Penaeidae. The record is from RefSeq and is a predicted model, not a curated record. The transcript is spliced from 3 exons.